This 587-nucleotide long non-coding RNA is filed under the name Triticum aestivum (bread wheat). Its description in RNAcentral is "long non-coding RNA (TAES_LNC002528)". Lineage: Eukaryota; Viridiplantae; Streptophyta; Magnoliopsida; Poales; Poaceae. The record is from RNAcentral.
UCCAGAAUCCAUCAGCAAGUUGCUCUGGGCCUGGGGUGAUCCAUCAGCUUCAUAUUUGCUUGCACAGCAACAAUCACAGGAUUUCAGUAACUAUGUGAAGGAUUCAGAGCCGUAGUGGAGUCCGGCACACUGCAUUUUCAAGCUACUGCAUCAAGUUUUCAUUAACCAAAUCGAUGCACUGCUACUCUAACAUCAACUACUCAUGCAAAUGGAUAAGAGAAGAGGCAUGGAGAAGAAACACCGUACCAGAUCCGUGAGGACGACCAAGCCGCUCCAGAUCCGCCGGUUGCUCCAGCGCCUCUCCAAAUACGCCGCUCGGCCUCCGCUCUGCAUCCAGUGCCGACGAGCGCAGAUCCAGCGCCUCCCUCGCCUAGAUCGAGCGCCGGCGCACGCAAAUCCAUCGCCUCUGUCGCCCAAAAGCUCGUCGCCGGCGCAAAAAAUUCAUUCUUUGACCUUGGAUGUGGGGCGUGAAUGGACGCCGGGUAUGAGUGGACGCCGGACGUGAAUGGAUGCCGGGUGUGGACGCGGAGAAAGGUGGCGGCGACGGCGAGAUAUGCUAGAGAGGCCGGCGACGGAGAGUCAGGGAG